GCUUGCCACGCUCUAUCCCCAAUCUCGCUACCCCUAUCGUCUUCGCUAACCCUAGGCACCGUGUCCCUCCGGUUGUGGCCCCUGUCCUCCUAACCCUAGGUUUCGCGCCCCCAUCUCGCCUGUCGGCUGCCUGGUUCCCGCUGCGCCGCUUCGUCUUCUCUCCGUCGCGCCGCUUCGUCUUCUCUCCGCCGAGCAUUUUUGGUUUUUUUCCAGGAUCAGGUCCGUAAUUUAUCCUGAGCAUGUCUUAUUACUCAGUAAUCGACCACUGGAAUAUGUAACUUCAUGGUGUGCGUGCUCAUGCUUGUAAGUGCCAUGCUUCUAAUUUAGUUCCCUAAAAUUGCAUUGUAUUGCCUUGUGGUCACUACUCUGUUUCGUUGGUAUGGAUUAUUGCUUUCCUCUUCUCCAAGAAGAAUGAUUUGGUCCUUAUUAAUUGGCAUUAUUAUAUUUUCUAGUUUUUUUGCUGCAAUCUGCAAAGAAUAUUGGUUUGAGUUAGCAUUUGAUAUAGUAGAUUUGGUUCCUGAUUGGGUUUCAAUCUUUUAAUAGUUUUUCUUGUGGAUGAUCUGUGAAAAUAUACUAGGGCUUAGUGACUCACUGUCUAUUGACUGAUUUUAUUUUUGUGUCAAAUUUGGUGUAAGACCAUUUAAUAUCCUUCCUAUUGUCUUUGCCAUUAUGCUGAAUUUUCUAGAAUAAAGAGUCCACACCAGUACCACCACAUUUCAGUUUUAGUGGUUCAUAGGGUAAAACUAUACUCUGCAGAUCCUUAGAAGGUCGGAUGAAGCGUUCUGUUUUUGUCUGAUGGUUCGUCAAAACCAAAAUGUUUAUUAGCUCAUCCUUCUCUUACUUGCAGCAUUGGGAAUUUUUUCUUUGCUGGAGCUCAGAUAUUCUUUCAGUCUCUAGAUGCUGCAAUUUUCUUGUUUUCACGUGUCUCACAAAUUCCUACAGAAAGCCCGGUGCUACCAGUUAUAUCCACAAAUGAUAGGCUUACCUUGGUGCUUCUCUUUUUUUAUGGUAAAUGUAGAGAGAUAAGGUUAAAGAUACUGUUGGUAAUGGCCUGUGUGAAUGGAUGAUGGACACAAGGUUUCUACACAAAAAAUUCUAAAAUUUAUAGUAUUUUAUAAAGUUAAAUUAGUUGGUUGUCUUUUAUUUUCAAGAUAAUAACCAAACAUAUUGAUCAUGUCAAUAUUUGCUUUCAAUGAAUUGUAAGUAUUGUCAACACUUCCUCGUUACUUUCUAAUAACCAGACUCAAGGCCUUUUCACCCUUUUAUGUGGUUUGAUUUAACAGGUCUUUCCAUCUACAAAUCAAACUGUCGUAGAUCAGUUGAACAAUGUUGACUCCAUUAUCUAUGCCAUGGGUUCACUGUUUACUUUGAUAUGCCCCUCUCUGGUAAGCACUGUGUGCCUCUCUGCUAAACCCACUCGUUUUUUUGAUUGAAAUAGUUUAUACCUAAAAUAAUUUCCAAAAAUAAUUAUCUACCAUUUUGAACAGUCUGCCUCCACUCUUUUCUUUUCUUUUUGCUCUUUUUUUAUUUAGUUUUUUUCUCUGUUUGAGCAGUGAGUACAUAACUCAAUGCCUUACCUUUGAACUUCCUAUUUAAGGUCUCUCAAGAGUAGAACUAUUGGAAUGCCCCUCCUCUUGGGAGUAAUAUGUAGUGUCAGUUUCCUUAUUGCUUGUGUUUCAUUUUCAGGUUUUAUGUGGAAUUGGGGAAAGUAUUUCUUCACGAUCAUGUCCCAAGGU
Molecule: long non-coding RNA, 1736 nt
Filed under: Salvia miltiorrhiza (redroot sage)
Lineage: Eukaryota; Viridiplantae; Streptophyta; Magnoliopsida; Lamiales; Lamiaceae
Description: long non-coding RNA (SMIL_LNC002263)
Source: RNAcentral